This 472-nucleotide ribosomal RNA is filed under the name uncultured Allobrachymonas sp. Its description in RNAcentral is "bacterial SSU rRNA". It matches the Rfam family "Bacterial small subunit ribosomal RNA", at positions 903 to 1382 of the family's 1533-position model. The record is from RNAcentral. Lineage: Bacteria; Pseudomonadati; Pseudomonadota; Betaproteobacteria; Burkholderiales; Comamonadaceae.
AAAUGAAUUGACGGGACCCGCACAAGCGGUGGAUGAUGUGGUUUAAUUCGAUGCAACGCGAAAACCUUACCCACCUUUGACAUGGCAGGAAUCCCGAAGAGAUUGGGAGUGCUCGAAAGAGAACCUGCACACAGGUGCUGCAUGGCUGUCGUCAGCUCGUGUCGUGAGAUGUUGGGUUAAGUCCCGCAACGAGCGCAACCCUUGCCAUUAGUUGCUACGAAAGGGCACUCUAAUGGGACUGCCGGUGACAAACCGGAGGAAGGUGGGGAUGACGUCAAGUCCUCAUGGCCCUUAUAGGUGGGGCUACACACGUCAUACAAUGGCCGGUACAGAGGGUAGCCAACCCGCGAGGGGGAGCCAAUCCCACAAAGCCGGUCGUAGUCCGGAUCGCAGUCUGCAACUCGACUGCGUGAAGUCGGAAUCGCUAGUAAUCGCGGAUCAGCAUGUCGCGGUGAAUACGUUCCCGGGUCUU